GAUGAACGCUGGCGGCGUGCCUAACACAUGCAAGUCGAACGAAGCGAUUCAGAGGAAGUUUUCGGAUGGAAUCUGGAGAGACUGAGUGGCGGACGGGUGAGUAACGCGUGGAUAACCUGCCUCAUACAGGGGGAUAACAGUUAGAAAUGACUGCUAAUACCGCAUAAGCGCACAAGAUCGCAUGAUCAUGUGUGAAAAACUCCGGUGGUAUGAGAUGGAUCCGCGUCUGAUUAGCCAGUUGGCGGGGUAACGGCCCACCAAAGCGACGAUCAGUAGCCGACCUGAGAGGGUGACCGGCCACAUUGGGACUGAGACACGGCCCAA
RNAcentral lists this ribosomal RNA (324 nucleotides) under uncultured bacterium. Its description in RNAcentral is "bacterial SSU rRNA". It matches the Rfam family "Bacterial small subunit ribosomal RNA", at positions 28 to 334 of the family's 1533-position model. The record is from RNAcentral.